GCCCGGGUGGUGGAAUUAGGUAGACACAAGGGACUUAAAAUCCCUCGGUUUUAUGCCGUACGAGUUCAAGUCUCGUCCCGGGUA
RNAcentral lists this transfer RNA (84 nucleotides) under Blochmannia endosymbiont of Colobopsis nipponica. RNAcentral describes it as "tRNA-Leu". It matches the Rfam family "tRNA". Rfam says of the family: Transfer RNA (tRNA) molecules are approximately 80 nucleotides in length. Lineage: Bacteria; Pseudomonadati; Pseudomonadota; Gammaproteobacteria; Enterobacterales; Enterobacteriaceae. The record is from RNAcentral.